Molecule: transfer RNA, 71 nt
Filed under: Bos taurus (domestic cattle)
Lineage: Eukaryota; Metazoa; Chordata; Mammalia; Artiodactyla; Bovidae
Also listed under: 1 other name
Rfam family: tRNA
About the family: Transfer RNA (tRNA) molecules are approximately 80 nucleotides in length. Their secondary structure includes four short double-helical elements and three loops (D, anti-codon, and T loops).
Source: Rfam by way of RNAcentral
UCCCUGAUAGCUGAGUUGGUAAAGAAUUUGCUGCAAAGCAGAAGACCCUGGUUUGAUUCCUGGUUUAGGAA